CCUACGGGUGGCAGCAGUGAGGAAUAUUGGUCAAUGGGCGAGAGCCUGAACCAGCCAAGUCGCGUGAGGGAGUACUGCCCUAUGGGUUGUAAACCUCUUUUGUCGGGGAGCAAAAGCCGGACGUGUCCGGCUGUGAGAGUACCCGAAGAAAAAGCAUCGGCUAACUCCGUGCCAGCAGCCGCGGUAAUACGGGGGAUGCGAGCGUUAUCAGGAUUUAUUGGGUUAAAAGGGUGCGCAGGCGGAUUUUUAAGUCAGCGGUAAAAUCGUGGGGCUCAACCCCAUCCAGCCGUUGAAACUGGGGAUCUAGAGUGUGCGAGAGGUAUGCGGAAUGCGUGGUGUAGCGGUGAAAUGCAUAGAUAUCACGCAGAACCCCGAUUGCGAAGGCAGCAUACCGGUGCACAACUGACGCUCAGGCACGAAAGCGUGGGUAUCGAACAGGAUUAGAUACCCCUGUAGUC
RNAcentral lists this ribosomal RNA (458 nucleotides) under uncultured bacterium. RNAcentral's name for it is "partial 16S ribosomal RNA". It matches the Rfam family "Bacterial small subunit ribosomal RNA", at positions 338 to 795 of the family's 1533-position model. The record is from RNAcentral.